This 253-nucleotide ribosomal RNA is filed under the name uncultured bacterium. RNAcentral's name for it is "partial 16S ribosomal RNA". It matches the Rfam family "Bacterial small subunit ribosomal RNA", at positions 524 to 776 of the family's 1533-position model. The record is from RNAcentral.
UACAGAGGUCUCAAGCGUUGUUCGGAUUCAUUGGGCGUAAAGCGUGUGCAGGCGGGGGUACAAGUGGUGUAUGAAAUUUCCCAGCUUAACUGGGAAGGGCUAUGCCAGACUGUACUUCUGGAGUGCGAGAGAGGGGCGUGGAAUUCCGGGUGUAGUGGUGAAAUGCGUAGAGAUCCGGAGGAACCCCAGAGGCGAAGGCGGCGCCCUGGCUCGCAACUGACGCUCAGACACGACAGCAUGGGGAGCGAACGGG